UACAGAGGGGGCAAGCGUUGUUCGGAAUUACUGGGCGUAAAGAGCUCGUAGGCGGUUUGUCGCGUCUGCUGUGAAAACUCGGGGCUUAACUCCGGGCCUGCAGUGGGUACGGGCAGACUAGAGUGCGGUAGGGGAGACUGGAAUUCCUGGUGUAGCGGUGAAAUGCGCAGAUAUCAGGAGGAACACCGGUGGCGAAGGCGGGUUGCUGGGCUGACACUGACGCUGAAGUGCGAAAGCUAGGGGAGCGAACGGG
This 253-nucleotide ribosomal RNA is filed under the name uncultured bacterium. RNAcentral's name for it is "partial 16S ribosomal RNA". It matches the Rfam family "Bacterial small subunit ribosomal RNA", at positions 524 to 776 of the family's 1533-position model. The record is from RNAcentral.